CGUGAUCCUUCUAUUAUCACCUAUAUUCAGUAUAGUUUCGAUUAGAUCCUAACGUUGUCAUUUGCUAAGCUAAGUUCGGGGUUACGUCGCAGUUCAGAAGAAUUACGUGGAGGUUGACUUAGAUCUUCAGUACUUCCUACUAGAAUUGGAGUGAUAGACGUAGAAGUUACAGUUCCAGUAAAGAAUCUAGUAAAGUCUUGACUAGAAGAUUUUCCAGCAACGUGAAGAGUACGCCUGUUCCAGUACUUAUCUACUCUAUUUGCGAUAGUGUAGAAACAGUUGAUAAUUCUGCAGAAUUCUUCACUCCAGCUAGAGAGAGAUCGGCCGCUAGAAGAUCAUCGAGUCCGGUUGUUGGUGAAGGAACGAUGGGUCAUAGCAGUUCUAUGUCAUAUGAUACAGUGGGGCACGACAUUGACACAACAGGAUCGCUUUCUCCUGUGGAUCUAAGAAGACAGAGCCCUCCGAGGGAGGAGCGCAGAUAUAACACUAGGAGACCUGAGGAACGGAGACAACCUGAUCGUCUAGGAUACAACGUUAGACUAGUUACGGAUCUUAUAAAACUCUUCAACCAGUAGAAGACGAGGAGAUGCCCGGAUAGGGAAGUACACUUACUUUGGAAUCUAGUUUCAGUACAGUAUAGUCUUACUCACAUAGCUAGCUUUCCACUUAGUACUUAGCAGUGGUAUUGUACCUUACUUAGGCAUAACACGUGUUAUCUUUCAGAACAUUACUGAUAGGGAUAAUAGGAUCAUUACUCUCAACACGACUCGCUCAGGGCUGCUUUAGUGGCGGAAACGUAGAAACUUUCGAAUUUAUUUUGACUUCUUUGUUUGCUUGUCAAGGACGUUUAGAGAUUCCGAUACAUCUCUAUCUAAUGAUGAAGACUCAACACCAAAGACUCUACAACUUGGUGCAAAAGGGAAGUAUUUGAAAGUUUUAGAAGAUUUGUGGAAGUCAAGUUCAGUUUUAACUUUAGAAUUUUGAGGAUUUAAAUUUAAUGCACAGGGUUAGGGCCGUGUAUUUUAUUUUGAGACUUGACUUAUUUUUAAGUUUUGGACUUUUGAUGCGUGGAAGCAUUGAAAUUUAAAUUUUGAAAAGGGCGAUUAUUUUAUUGUUUUAAAAUAUUCGAAAAAAAUUUUUGGGUAGAGAUGUUGUAAUAUGGUAUUUAGAGAUAUCUUUUAGGAUAUCUUAGUUUUAGUAUAACGUUUACGGGACGUAUAAUUUAGUAUGUGUUUCCGGGUAUAUAAUAACCAAUGUUUUUAUAUGUUCGUAUUUGGGAGUUACACAUUUUGAGUGUAAGUCGGUUGGCUGGCAGAACUACUGUCAGACUAACUGUCUGAAACGAGCCGUCCGCUCACUUUGCACCUGACUUACAGCCAGGCCUGUGGUUGGUCCUCGCGACCACAGCGUGACUGCUAGUGGAGUGCUCAUUGGCGAGACGGCGUGUCACGUGGUGCAAGCAAAUGCGUUGUGCCGUCACGCAGUGUGGCGUGACGAAGUUUUGAGAGUAUACCCGGAGAGCCGGAUGUGAAGAGCUCACUUCUUAGUUGCCCCUUAAUCAUUUUAAGGGAUCCGAUUGUCAAUAGCCAGUUUAACUGAGUACUAUUCUCUGUGACUAGACACGUAGUGUGAUCUAUAUUCACGGCAAUCGUUUGGAGCGAACACUUGGAAGUUUUAUCUGUUGACGUUCACUUUGUAUUACUUUUCCAUUUUAUUAAUUAUCCUUUUU
Molecule: long non-coding RNA, 1729 nt
Organism: Bolinopsis microptera
Lineage: Eukaryota; Metazoa; Ctenophora; Tentaculata; Lobata; Bolinopsidae
Exons: 3
Source: RefSeq, a predicted model, not a curated record